This 300-nucleotide signal recognition particle RNA is filed under the name Saimiri boliviensis boliviensis (Bolivian squirrel monkey). RNAcentral's name for it is "Metazoan signal recognition particle RNA (ENSSBOG00000015731.1)". It matches the Rfam family "Metazoan signal recognition particle RNA". Rfam says of the family: The signal recognition particle (SRP) is a universally conserved ribonucleoprotein. It is involved in the co-translational targeting of proteins to membranes. The record is from Rfam by way of RNAcentral. Lineage: Eukaryota; Metazoa; Chordata; Mammalia; Primates; Cebidae.
GCCCGGCAUGGUGGCGCAUGCCUAUAGUCCCAGCUGUUCGGGAGGCUGAGGCUGGAGGAUCGCUUGAGUCCAGGAGUUCUGGGCUGUAGUGCGUUAUGCAGAUCGGGUGUCCGCACUAAGUUUGGGAUCAAUAUGGUGACCUCCUGGCAGCGGGGGACCACCAGGUUGCCUAAGGAGGAGUGAACCAGCCCAGGUCACAAACAGAGCAGGUCAAAACUCCCGUGCUGAUCAGUAGUGGGAUUGCGUCUGUGAAUAGCCACUGCACCCCAGCCUGGGCACCAUAGCGAGACCCCGUCUCCU